RNAcentral lists this ribosomal RNA (202 nucleotides) under Zoogloea sp. arc21. RNAcentral's name for it is "partial 16S ribosomal RNA". It matches the Rfam family "Bacterial small subunit ribosomal RNA", at positions 506 to 710 of the family's 1533-position model. The record is from RNAcentral. Lineage: Bacteria; Pseudomonadati; Pseudomonadota; Betaproteobacteria; Rhodocyclales; Zoogloeaceae.
UGCCAGCAGCCGCGGUAAUACGUAGGGUGCAAGCGUUAAUCGGAAUUACUGGGCGUAAAGCGUGCGCAGGCGGUUUUGUAAGUCUGUCGUGAAAUCCCCGGGCUCAACCUGGGAAUGGCGAUGGAGACUGCAAGGCUAGAGUUUGGCAGAGGGUAGAAUUCCACGUGUAGCAGUGAAAUGCGUAGAUAUGUGGAGGAACACC